This 404-nucleotide RNase P RNA is filed under the name Pseudorhodobacter sp. RNAcentral's name for it is "RNase P RNA component class A". It matches the Rfam family "Bacterial RNase P class A". From Rfam's summary of the family: Ribonuclease P (RNase P) is a ubiquitous endoribonuclease, found in archaea, bacteria and eukarya as well as chloroplasts and mitochondria. Its best characterised activity is the generation of mature 5'-ends of tRNAs by cleaving the 5'-leader elements of precursor-tRNAs. Lineage: Bacteria; Pseudomonadati; Pseudomonadota; Alphaproteobacteria; Rhodobacterales; Paracoccaceae. The record is from RNAcentral.
GCGGAUGGCCGGAUGACCGCGUGUGUGGCGUCGUCCCGCAAGGGAAACCGCCAUGCGCGAGGAAAGUCCGGACUCCAUGAGGCAAGGGUGCCGGGUAACGCCCGGCUGGGGUAACCCAAGGGAAAGCGCCACAGAGAAGAAACUGCUCUGCUUGCAGAGUAAUGGUGAAACGGUGGGGUAAGAGCCCACCGCGGACGUGGCAACACGGACGGCAUGGCAAGCCCCACCCGGAGCAAUGCCGAAUAGGGACCUCACGCGGUUGCUUUCGGGCAAGAGCAGGGACGCAUCAGCCCCGAGGUCCGGGUUGGCAGCUAGACCGCACUGGUGACAGUGGGGGCAGAGGAAUGGUCAUCGAAGGGGGGAAACCCCUGGAACAGAAUCCGGCUUACAGGCCAUCCGCGCAA